UUGAACGCUGGCGGCAGGCCUAACACAUGCACGUCGAGCGGAUGAAGGGAGCUUGCUCCUGGAUUCAGCGGCGGACGGGUGAGUAAUGCCUAGGAAUCUGCCUGGUAGUGGGGGAUAACGUCCGGAAACGGGCGCUAAUACCGCAUACGUCCUGAGGGAGAAGGUGGGGGAUCUUCGGACCUCACGCUAUCAGAUGAGCCUAGGUCGGAUUAGCUAGUUGGUGGGGUAAAGGCCUACCAAGGCGACGAUCCGUAACUGGUCUGAGAGGAUGAUCAGUCACACUGGAACUGAGACACGGUCCAGACUCCUACGGGAGGCAGCAGUGGGGAAUAUUGGACAAUGGGCGAAAGCCUGAUCCAGCCAUGCCGCGUGUGUGAAGAAGGUCUUCGGAUUGUAAAGCACUUUAAGUUGGGAGGAAGGGCAGUAAGUUAAUACCUUGCUGUUUUGACGUUACCAACAGAAUAAGCACCGGCUAACUUCGUG
Molecule: ribosomal RNA, 483 nt
Filed under: uncultured bacterium
Lineage: Bacteria
Description: partial 16S ribosomal RNA
Rfam family: Bacterial small subunit ribosomal RNA
Source: RNAcentral